CCUACGGGAGGCAGCAGUGGGGAAUAUUGGGCAAUGGGCGCAAGCCUGACCCAGCAACGCCGCGUGAAGGAAGAAGGCUUUCGGGUUGUAAACUUCUUUUCUCAGGGACGAAGAAAGUGACGGUACCUGAGGAAUAAGCCACGGCUAACUACGUGCCAGCAGCCGCGGUAAUACGUAGGUGGCAAGCGUUAUCCGGAUUUAUUGGGUGUAAAGGGCGUGUAGGCGGGAGCGCAAGUCAGAUGUGAAAACUCAGGGCUCAACCCUGAGCCUGCAUUUGAAACUGGGUUUCUUGAGUGCUGGGGAGGCAAUCGGAAUUCCGUGUGUAGCGGUGAAAUGCGUAGAUAUACGGAGGAACACCAGUGGCGAAGGCGGAUUGCUGGACAGUAACUGACGCUGAGGCGCGAAAGCGUGGGGAGCAAACAGGAUUAGAUACCCUUGUAGUC
This 443-nucleotide ribosomal RNA is filed under the name uncultured bacterium. RNAcentral describes it as "partial 16S ribosomal RNA". It matches the Rfam family "Bacterial small subunit ribosomal RNA", at positions 338 to 795 of the family's 1533-position model. The record is from RNAcentral.